UAAUAGUGUAUAUUAAAGUUGUUGCAGUUAAAAAGCUCGUAGUUGAAUGUUGGUGUCGAACGAGCGGUCAGCUUCGGCUGUACUGCUCUCUCGACUCCUUCCUUCUGUGGACUACGUCGCACUUUACUGUGUGGCGCUAGGACGCAGAUCGUUUACUGUGAAAAAAUUAGAGUGUUCAAAGCAGGCCGUACGCUUGAAUACAUUAGCAUGGAAUAAUGGAAUAGGACGUCGGGCCUAUUUUGUUGGUUCUAGGACCGUCGUAAUGAUUAAUAGGGACAGUUGGGGCCGUUUAUAUUCCGUAGUCAGAGGUGAAAUUCUUGGAUUUACGAAAGAUAAACUUCUGCGAAAGCAUUCGGCAAGGAUGUUUNCAUUGA
This 374-nucleotide ribosomal RNA is filed under the name uncultured eukaryote. RNAcentral describes it as "partial 18S ribosomal RNA". It matches the Rfam family "Eukaryotic small subunit ribosomal RNA", at positions 592 to 976 of the family's 1831-position model. The record is from RNAcentral.